GGAAGCGUGGCUGAGGGGUUGAAGGCACCGGUUUCGAAAACCGGCAACGGGGAAACUCGUUCGAGGGUUCAAAUCCCUCCGCUUCCG
RNAcentral lists this transfer RNA (87 nucleotides) under Candidatus Kaiserbacteria bacterium. RNAcentral's name for it is "tRNA-Ser". It matches the Rfam family "tRNA". Rfam says of the family: Transfer RNA (tRNA) molecules are approximately 80 nucleotides in length. Their secondary structure includes four short double-helical elements and three loops (D, anti-codon, and T loops). The record is from RNAcentral. Lineage: Bacteria; Candidatus Kaiseribacteriota.